This 495-nucleotide ribosomal RNA is filed under the name uncultured bacterium. Its description in RNAcentral is "partial 16S ribosomal RNA". It matches the Rfam family "Bacterial small subunit ribosomal RNA", at positions 28 to 524 of the family's 1533-position model. The record is from RNAcentral.
GACGAACGCUGGCGGCGUGCUUAACACAUGCAAGUCGAACGAUGAUGCCCAGCUUGCUGGGUGGAUUAGUGGCGAACGGGUGAGUAACACGUGAGUAACCUGCCCUUCACUUCGGGAUAACUCCGGGAAACCGGGGCUAAUACUGGAUAUGACCUGCGCCUGCAUGGGUGUGGGUGGAAAGCUUUUGUGGUGGAGGAUGGACUCGCGGCCUAUCAGCUUGUUGGUGAGGUAGUGGCUUACCAAGGCGACGACGGGUAGCCGGCCUGAGAGGGCGACCGGCCACACUGGGACUGAGACACGGCCCAGACUCCUACGGGAGGCAGCAGUGGGGAAUAUUGCACAAUGGGAGCAAUCCUGAUCCAGCAAUGCCGCGUGUGGGAUGACGGGGCUUUGCCUUGUAAACCACUGUCGGACGGGACGAGAAGAGGUAAGAACCUCUGGGACGGUACCGUCAAAGGAAGGAUCGGCUAACUACGUGCCAGCAGCCGCGGUAAU